RNAcentral lists this microRNA precursor (71 nucleotides) under Salicornia europaea (common glasswort). RNAcentral describes it as "miR11037 stem-loop (seu-MIR11037)". The record is from miRBase by way of RNAcentral. Lineage: Eukaryota; Viridiplantae; Streptophyta; Magnoliopsida; Caryophyllales; Amaranthaceae.
ACUCCCUCGGUAACAUAUUAAUGGCAACGAUUUGACAUUAAUCGUUGCCAUUAAUAUGUUACGGGAGGGAG